GCUCUCAUCAUCUAAAGGUUAGGAUGCUGCCCUUUCAAGGCAGAAAUGUUAGGUUCAAAUCCUACUGAGAGUACCA
This 76-nucleotide transfer RNA is filed under the name Crassvirales sp. RNAcentral describes it as "tRNA-Glu". It matches the Rfam family "tRNA". From Rfam's summary of the family: Transfer RNA (tRNA) molecules are approximately 80 nucleotides in length. Their secondary structure includes four short double-helical elements and three loops (D, anti-codon, and T loops). Lineage: Duplodnaviria; Heunggongvirae; Uroviricota; Caudoviricetes; Crassvirales. The record is from RNAcentral.